GUUUUUUUUUUUUUUUUUUGCUCUCUUGCUCUCGCUGGCUCUUCUAGCGUGUGUGAUAACGUGUGUUGAAGCGAAUGGGAAAACUUGUAUUGAUCGGGAGUUGCAGAUUACAAUUUAUACUAUCCGGAGAGUCGCGAUGGGAAAGAAUGCGUCGGUUUUGAAGAAAGACCCGAGAGGCGUCUGUUGCGGAUGUAACCGCACGCCGUUUGGGUAAGUGGAGGUUUUCCCCUAAUUACAUGUGCUAAUUAAUCACAACAUAAAGCUUGUGGAUUUGCCCUAAAAAAAAUUCACGGGGCAUCUCGGCGGCCUUCUUUUCCGUGUCUCCCCCCGCUCAGCUCGUGCUCUGCUUUCUGUACGAGCUGGCCAUUCCCAAGAAUAAUAUGUUCCUUCUUCCAGUGAACAGAUAUACAGUAUCUACUUGUGCGUGUGUCGUUUUUCUUUUGAUUUCCCACCGUGGUUGGUAAAAGUUGGAACAUUACAACUUUGACCUUAUUUUUAAGGUAAUAAAUGUUAAAAGUUCGGGCGUACAAACGUUGACAUCAGUAUUUAGAGUGCGAUUUUAAAACAUCACAAAUAACUAUAUUGCCAUUAUAAAAUAUCACAAGUUUGCAUUAGAUUUUCCUGUCUAGUGAUUUAAGACCGCACCAUCAGUAAAUUCGCAGCCACCGUGAGAGCGAUACUGCAGGCGAUUUAAGGUCCGACACCAUAGUAAAAUCUAUUCCUACAUUGGUUAGGAAUACGAUGAAAUGACAAGAGUUUUAGGCCAUGACCCAAGGCCAACACCAGCACGACACAGCCACAAAAACAACACAAGGGUGCCAGACGAACGGAUUAAGAUCAAUAUCCAAAUGCCAGCACGGCACAUAAUCCCGAUAACACAAUCUAUAACUCCAGCAAGAUAAUAACCAAAACUCAAAGGAACAGGUCCGUUGUGCAGGGUGCCAGACUUUAACAAAAACGCAUUUCACUCGUCGUCGUCCUCGUCGUCAUCGGCGGCACCGGCAGAGUUGUUGAGGGCGUUGAGCCUUUCGACGAGGCUGGCCUUCCUCUGCUCAUAGGUCAGCUUCUUGGGGUUGUACCUGCAUCCAAAAG
This 1092-nucleotide long non-coding RNA is filed under the name Triticum aestivum (bread wheat). RNAcentral describes it as "long non-coding RNA (TAES_LNC009166)". Lineage: Eukaryota; Viridiplantae; Streptophyta; Magnoliopsida; Poales; Poaceae. The record is from RNAcentral.